This 562-nucleotide ribosomal RNA is filed under the name uncultured organism. RNAcentral describes it as "bacterial SSU rRNA". It matches the Rfam family "Bacterial small subunit ribosomal RNA", at positions 860 to 1423 of the family's 1533-position model. The record is from RNAcentral.
UUAAGUGAUCCACCUGGGAAGUACGUCCGCAAGGAUGAUACUCAUAGGAAUUGACGGGGGCUCGCACAACCGGUGGUACACGUGGUUCAAUUAGAUGCUACGCGAGGAACCUUACCUGGGCUUAAAUGCAGAACGACCUCCCGGGAAACCGGGAUUCCCUUCGGGGCGGUUUGCAAGGUGCUGCACGGCUGUCGUCAGCUCGUGCCAUGAGGUGUCGGGUUAAGUCCCUUAACGAGCGCAACCCAUGAUUGUUAGUUGCCAACAGGUAAUGCUGGGGACUCUAGCAAAACUGCCACCCCAAGCUGGAGGAAGGUGGGGAUGACGUCAAGUCAGCAUGGCCCUUAUGUCCAGGGCUACACACGUGUUACAAUGGCCGGCACAAAGGGCAGCUACCACGCGAGUGGAUGCUAAUCUCUAAAUCCGGUCUUAGUUCGGAUCGGAGUCUGCAAUUCGACUUCGUGAAGGUGGAAUCGGUAGUAAUCGCGCAUCCCCAACGGCGCGGUGAUACGUUCCCGAGCAUUGUACACACUGCCCGUCAAGCCAUGGGAGUUGGGGGUACUUG